GAUGAACGCUGGCGGCGUGCCUAAUACAUGCAAGUCGAGCGAACAGACGAGGAGCUUGCUCCUCUGACGUUAGCGGCGGACGGGUGAGUAACACGUGGAUAACCUACCUAUAAGACUGGGAUAACUUCGGGAAACCGGAGCUAAUACCGGAUAAUAUAUUGAACCGCAUGGUUCAAUAGUGAAAGACGGUUUUGCUGUCACUUAUAGAUGGAUCCGCGCCGCAUUAGCUAGUUGGUAAGGUAACGGCUUACCAAGGCAACGAUGCGUAGCCGACCUGAGAGGAUGAUCGGCCACACUGGAACUGAGACACGGUCCAGACUCCUACGGGAGGCAGCAGUAGGGAAUCUUCGGCAAUGGGCGAAAGCCUGACGGAGCAACGCCGCGUGAGUGAUGAAGGUCUUCGGAUCGUAAAACUCUUUUAUUAGGGAAGAACAACUGUGUAAGUAUAUAUGGACGUUCUGACGGUACCUAAACAGAAAGCACCGGCUAACUUCGUG
Molecule: ribosomal RNA, 497 nt
Filed under: uncultured bacterium
Lineage: Bacteria
Description: partial 16S ribosomal RNA
Rfam family: Bacterial small subunit ribosomal RNA
Source: RNAcentral